This 254-nucleotide ribosomal RNA is filed under the name uncultured bacterium. Its description in RNAcentral is "partial 16S ribosomal RNA". It matches the Rfam family "Bacterial small subunit ribosomal RNA", at positions 524 to 776 of the family's 1533-position model. The record is from RNAcentral.
UACGAAGGGGGCUAGCGUUGCUCGGAAUCACUGGGCGUAAAGCGCACGUAGGCGGCUUCUUAAGUCAGGGGUGAAAUCCUGGAGCUCAACUCCAGAACUGCCUUUGAUACUGAAGAUCUUGAGUUCGGGAGAGGUGAGUGGAACUGCGAGUGUAGAGGUGAAAUUCGUAGAUAUUCGCAAGAACACCAGUGGCGAAGGCGGCUCACUGGCCCAUUACUGACGCUGAGGCACGGAAAGCGUGGGGAGCAAACAGG